RNAcentral lists this ribosomal RNA (447 nucleotides) under uncultured bacterium. RNAcentral's name for it is "bacterial SSU rRNA". It matches the Rfam family "Bacterial small subunit ribosomal RNA", at positions 355 to 825 of the family's 1533-position model. The record is from RNAcentral.
UCGGGAAUUUUGGGCAAUGGGCGAAAGCCUGACCCAGCAACGCCGCGUGAAGGAUGAAGUAUUUCGGUAUGUAAACUUCGAAAGAAUAGGAAGAAUAAAUGACGGUACUAUUUAUAAGGUCCGGCUAACUACGUGCCAGCAGCCGCGGUAAUACGUAGGGACCAAGCGUUGUUCGGAUUUACUGGGCGUAAAGGGCGCGUAGGCGGCAAUUCAAGUCAUCUGUGAAAUCUCCGGGCUUAACUCGGAACGGUCAGAUGAUACUGCUUUGCUAGAGUGCAGAAGGGGCAAUCGGAAUUCUUGGUGUAGCGGUGAAAUGCGUAGAUAUCAAGAGGAACACCUGAGGUGAAGACGGGUUGCUGGGCUGACACUGACGCUGAGGCGCGAAAGCCAGGGGAGCAAACAGGAUUAGAUACCCUCGUAGUCCCUGAGCGGGCUGGCAAGGCGCAU